Molecule: long non-coding RNA, 2404 nt
Organism: Vespula pensylvanica (western yellowjacket)
Lineage: Eukaryota; Metazoa; Arthropoda; Insecta; Hymenoptera; Vespidae
Exons: 2
Source: RefSeq, a predicted model, not a curated record
GGAGGGAAGGAAGAAAGAAAGAAAAAAAGAAAGAAAGAAAGAAAGAAAGAAAGAGCGAAAAAGUAAUAAUAACGAAAAUAUGCAAAAUAAAUUAAUGUCGUGAGAUUUUCGAAACGGUGCACAUGAUGGACUAGGAACUAGCAUUCAACGGAUUUGCGGAUCAAUCAUUUUACAGGACAAGGAAGAUGCGUUUCUCGUUCGAGUAAAGCCUCAUUAAUCGUUUCUUAAAAAUCGUAACCAAAAUUAAUAUAUGCGGUAUUUUGAAGUACGAAAGCGCAGAGAAUUUAUAAAUAAAUAAAGCGUACUUCAAAAUUCCUCCUUUUGUGCGUCGCUCUACCCACGGUGAUCGUUAUAAAAUGGACUAUGUACUGUCUGGUUAUAUGGCUACGCAUAGAUAUAUAGUCAUGUACGAAACAUGCUGUAUUUUCCAAUUAUUUUUUUAUUUACAAUAUUUCGUAAGAUAUAUAUGCUCCGAAAAGGAAAUGAAAACAAAGUAGUUUUAACGGUUGUGCGUCUUUGAAUAUGAAAAAGAAACAACAACAAGAAGAAAAAAAAAAAGAAACAUCAUUUUCCUUUACCCCCCGGUGAAUUCGAUUUAUUUACAUACAUAUCUUUUUUUCACAACACACAUACUCUGUAACUUUUUAAACUGCUCCUAUGUAUUUUCUAAUCUGUUAGCAGAGUAUAGACGUGCUUCUUUAGUAGUAUUACACUUAUGCUCUCGUUAUUAUCAUUACUAUUAAUUAAUUACCAUUACUUAUAAUUCUAUGGAUAAAAAGCAUAAUACAUCACCGAGUCACCGAUCCUUAGGCACACAAAAUGUCGUUCUAUUUUUUUAUUAUUUUAUUAUUUUUUUCUUUUUUCCUAUACCUAUUCGGGCGGGCGGCAAAUUUGAAAUAUAUACUGUUCGAAUUGUAUCGAAGAAAAAUAUGCAAAAUUGUGAUUGUAAAUUUAUUGCGUAUUAUUAUUACUCGACGUUGCCGACUUUUGCCCAUUUUUGUACUUUUAUUUAUUUAUAUUUUAUUUCAUUUUUUUCCUGCUUUCCUUCUUUAAAUAAAUUCGGGAAACGUCACAUCGAGCUCUCUUUUACAAAUAGGAGCUUUCUCUCUUCGCAUCUUUUCUGUUAAAUAUACCUCUGAGGAGUAUUUAAGAGACUAAGGAAUUCAAAUCGAAAUAUAAAACGCUUCUUGUAAAAAAGAAAAACUAUAUAAUUAUUCUAACGUUUAAACGAAAUGUAGAGAUUUGAACGUCGUACUUGUUUAAGAGAGAGAGAGGGAGAGAGAGAGAGAGAGAGAGAGAGAGAGAUAGAGAGAGAGAGAGAGAGAGAGAGAGAGAACAGAAUAAUAUUAAGAACGAACUGAAGGUGGAACGAAAGGAAAAUUGAAAAAAAAAAAAAUUGUCUGUGAUUAUCAGUCAUAAUAAUCUUUAGGUCAACAUAUUUUUUAGAGGAUAUUUUUUAGGAAAUUACAAAAUUUAUAAUAUACCCCUAUUAUUGAUACGAUAUUCGAUCAGACAUGCUACGCAUAACUAUUAAAGUGAAAAUUGAAACUGUAAAAGUUGCUAACUGUUUAAUAGAGUUAUGGACUAGUUGAGAUAUCGAUGGCUGUUGUAAAAUAUUCAGUGUUUGGACAAAUAAUUAUUGAAAACUAUUUAUAGCUACUAAUUAUCGAGGUAUAAUGAUACUAUUAUUAUAUCGCAUGUUGUGUAGUAGCAUUUUUAUCCCUUCAUGCGUUUAUCAUACAUUUAUUAUUCACGAAGAAAUAUAUUAAGGAAUCGCAGAAAAAAAAAAAGGAAAGGGAGAACAAAAUCGAUCACGUCGUAUGUAGACUCGCGCAAAAUCGAUAUUCGCAAAAAAGGAGAAGAAAAAAGUAAAGUAAAAAAAAAAAAGCGAAAAAGAAAAAAAACAAAACGAGAUACAAAUUCAAACGAAGAGAGCCUAUGGGAAAGCGAGGCACACGUGACAUAUCCUUCAUCUGCGUAUUAUAAAUCUCUUUUAUUAUUAUUAUUAUUAUUAUUAUUAUUAUUAUUAUUAUUAUUAUUAUUAUUAUUAUUAUUACGAUUAUGAUUAUGAUUAUUAUUAUGACUAUUAUUAUUAUAAAUCCAUCUACUCGCCGCAGAAAAGAAAGAAAGAAAAAAAAAAUGAAAUAAAAAUAAAACUAAACUUAUGAAAUAAUCGUAAAUAAUCUCUACAUUUUAACCAGGAACGCUAUGCGCGCAAAAUGCGCGCAUAACGCUCAUAGCCGCUUUUGUCACGACACACAUACACACCGCGCUCGCGCUAGCGCGCGCACGCACACGUCAAAAGAAGAAGAAGAAGAACAUACAGACACGUUUUGUAAAAACUAAAUGUUUUGUUAGUAUUAUAUCAUAAGAAAUUAAGGAAAUAAAAGCGCAAAACUUGAAA